RNAcentral lists this ribosomal RNA (429 nucleotides) under uncultured Lactobacillus sp. RNAcentral describes it as "bacterial SSU rRNA". It matches the Rfam family "Bacterial small subunit ribosomal RNA", at positions 355 to 776 of the family's 1533-position model. Lineage: Bacteria; Bacillati; Bacillota; Bacilli; Lactobacillales; Lactobacillaceae. The record is from RNAcentral.
UAGGGAAUCUUCCACGAUGGGCGCAAGCCUGAUGGAGCAACACCGCGUGAGUGAAGAAGGGUUUCGGCUCGUAAAACUCUGUUGUUGAAGAAGAACGUGCGUGAGAGUAACUGUUCAUGCAGUGACGGUAUUCAACCAGAAAGUCACGGCUAACUACGUGCCAGCAGCCGCGGUAAUACGUAGGUGGCAAGCGUUAUCCGGAUUUAUUGGGCGUAAAGCGAGCGCAGGCGGUUGCUUAGGUCUGAUGUGAAAGCCUUCGGCUUAACCGAAGAAGUGCAUCGGAAACCGGGCGACUUGAGUGCAGAAGAGGACAGUGGAACUCCAUGUGUAGCGGUGGAAUGCGUAGAUAUAUGGAAGAACACCAGUGGCGAAGGCGGCUGUCUGGUCUGCAACUGACGCUGAGGCUCGAAAGCAUGGGUAGCGAACAGG